UACAUGUGGGGCAAGCGUUGUUCGGAAUUACUGGGCAUAAAGGGUGCGUAGGCGGCUUGUUAAGUCAGGGGUGAAAGUUUUCGGCCCAACCGGAAAAUUGCCUUUGAUACUGGCGAGCUGGAGUGCGUGAGGGGUGACCGGAACGAGUGGUGUAGCGGUGAAAUGCGUAGAUAUCACUCGGAAGGCCAACGGCGAAGGCAGGUCACUGGUGCGUAACUGACGCUGAGGCACGAAAGCGUGGGGAGCAAACAGG
RNAcentral lists this ribosomal RNA (253 nucleotides) under uncultured bacterium. RNAcentral's name for it is "partial 16S ribosomal RNA". It matches the Rfam family "Bacterial small subunit ribosomal RNA", at positions 524 to 776 of the family's 1533-position model. The record is from RNAcentral.